RNAcentral lists this long non-coding RNA (367 nucleotides) under Dromaius novaehollandiae (emu). Its description in RNAcentral is "lncRNA (ENSDNVG00000002425.1)". Lineage: Eukaryota; Metazoa; Chordata; Aves; Casuariiformes; Dromaiidae. The record is from RNAcentral.
GGAAGCCUGUGUGCCUGAAGGUGCCGCGCAGGUGGCCCUAGCGCGCAGCUGCCUGCCGUCGGCAGCCCAGGCGUGCCCGCGCUGCCGGAGCAGGCCGCSAAAUCUUUCACGGAGGGGCUGGGAGCUCUGCCUGUCAGUACGUAACAAGAUGUCCAUGUUGCAAAGGUGAGGCCAUGGGAGAUGCAGCGUGUACUGAAAACGCAACCAGACCCUGCUCCUCCUUCAGAUCGUCCUUAGAAAUCCCGUGGAACCAAGGCACGCCAGCAAGGCCUCCUUUGUCAGGAUCCGAGCUGCUACAGGACACCAACUGGAUCACAGAUCGACUGUGAGCGUCUUGAUGAAGGAUCUGGCAACAGAAAUGUAAGAG